AUGUCAAAGUGCACCACAGUCAAGUUCAAGGCGAAGUUUCUUGUUGUGGCAAGUGGUGAGAAUAGUGCAGAGAAUAUUCCAAUGUUCCCUAGACUGGAAUACUUUCCAGGUGAUGUUAUCCACUCCUCAAGCUACAAGUCAGGCAAGAGCUACUCUGGCGAGAAUGUAUUGAUCAUUGGAUCUGGCAACUCCGGGAUGGAAAUUGCUUAUGACCUUGCGACCCAUGGUGCCAACACAUCAAUUGUUAUACGAAGCCCGAUACAUUCAUGUAAUGACAAAGGAAUUAACUUGUUUGGGGAUGACACUUGCUCACCGUCUUCCAUUGAAUCUAGUGGAUAA
RNAcentral lists this ribosomal RNA (339 nucleotides) under Triticum aestivum (bread wheat). RNAcentral describes it as "partial small subunit ribosomal RNA". Lineage: Eukaryota; Viridiplantae; Streptophyta; Magnoliopsida; Poales; Poaceae. The record is from RNAcentral.